CAUUUUUGAGAAACUAAUGUUAAUACUUUAAGUAUUAUAAGGCUUAACAGACCCUCAAAACC
This 62-nucleotide transfer RNA is filed under the name Notamacropus rufogriseus (red-necked wallaby). RNAcentral describes it as "tRNA-Lys". The record is from RNAcentral. Lineage: Eukaryota; Metazoa; Chordata; Mammalia; Diprotodontia; Macropodidae.